UGUUCUUGCACCAGUUGUUCAAGUGCCUGC
RNAcentral lists this non-coding RNA (30 nucleotides) under Mus musculus (house mouse). The record is from RNAcentral. Lineage: Eukaryota; Metazoa; Chordata; Mammalia; Rodentia; Muridae.